CCAACUUCUGAAAUGUUGACCUCGGAUCAGGUAGGAAUACCCGCUGAACUUAAGCAUAUCAAUAA
This 65-nucleotide ribosomal RNA is filed under the name Trichoderma harzianum. RNAcentral's name for it is "partial 25S ribosomal RNA". The record is from RNAcentral. Lineage: Eukaryota; Fungi; Ascomycota; Sordariomycetes; Hypocreales; Hypocreaceae.